Ornithodoros turicata is the source of this 670-nucleotide long non-coding RNA. RefSeq lists it as uncharacterized. The record is from RefSeq and is a predicted model, not a curated record. NCBI's taxonomy places the organism in Eukaryota, Metazoa, Arthropoda, Arachnida, Ixodida, Argasidae. The transcript is spliced from 2 exons.
UUCUGGGAGGGAACUGGCCUAGAGGACUACGUUCCCGUUAUUUCCCCUUGGGGAUACCACAUGUUUUAUUUCUGUCUGGCGUCCCCAACGAAGCCACGGCCGGAUAAGAACACUCCGUGCAAAGUCGAAGUUGCUGUGGGGUCCAACUGAUAUCCUGUUUUACUAGGUCGUAAAAGAGAGACCACGAUUACGCAACAAAUCCACGUAACGAGCGGCCGAGUGAGCCCAUGCGGCAGUUCCAGCUACGCCCCUCACCGUCAUACCAUAACCAUUCCCAUGUGCAUGAGCUCUCAAUGCGCAUACUUCCUGGUGUUGUGAAGCGGUCGAAAUACAAAUGCCUGUGCACGGAGAGUGACAGUGUUCCGCGUAGAAGAUCUGCACUUUUUCUUUCGACGGAUCGGGGCACACACCAAAAAAUCGACGCAUUUUCACGGAUUUCGUCGAGCAACUGCACGGUACAGAGCUGCGUCAACAGUACUUACAGGACAGCACCGUUGCUAUACCUAGAACGGGUACAUGGCGCUAAUCCAAACUUUGUUUGACGACAGUAUCGUUUCCAUGAACUUGUGGCCACUGACAUCACUGGAUUUGUUGAGGAAACCUUUACUAACACCGCCUACUACUAACAGUUCCUACACAGGUUAUUACAAUAUAUAAUUUGUAAACACUA